Molecule: non-coding RNA, 21 nt
Filed under: Arabidopsis thaliana (thale cress)
Lineage: Eukaryota; Viridiplantae; Streptophyta; Magnoliopsida; Brassicales; Brassicaceae
Source: RNAcentral
UAUACUGAAGAUUUGUUGCUG